Molecule: ribosomal RNA, 427 nt
Filed under: uncultured Thermotoga sp.
Lineage: Bacteria; Thermotogati; Thermotogota; Thermotogae; Thermotogales; Thermotogaceae
Description: bacterial SSU rRNA
Rfam family: Bacterial small subunit ribosomal RNA
Source: RNAcentral
UGGGGAAUCUUGGACAAUGGGCGAAAGCCUGAUCCAGCGACGCCGCGUGGGGGAUGAAGCCCUUCGGGGUGUAAACCCCUGUUGCGAGGGAGGAAUAAGGCCUGGAGGAAAUGCCAGGCCGAUGACUGUACCUCGCGAGGAAGCCCCGGCUAACUACGUGCCAGCAGCCGCGGUAAUACGUAGGGGGCGAGCGUUACCCGGAUUCACUGGGCGUAAAGCGGGUGUAGGCGGCUCGGUAAGUCGGGUGUGAAAUCCCACAGCUCAACUGUGGAAUUGCGCCCGAAACUGCUGAGCUUGGGGCCGGUAGAGGGAGACGGAACUGCCGGUGUAGGGGUGAAAUCCGUAGAUAUCGGCAGGAACGCCGGUGGGGAAGCCGGUCUCCUGGGCCGCGCCCGGCGCUGAGACCCGAAAGCUAGGGGAGCAAACC